This 466-nucleotide ribosomal RNA is filed under the name uncultured bacterium. RNAcentral's name for it is "partial 16S ribosomal RNA". It matches the Rfam family "Bacterial small subunit ribosomal RNA", at positions 30 to 507 of the family's 1533-position model. The record is from RNAcentral.
UGAACGCUGGCGGCGUGCUUACCACAUGCAAGUCGAACGGAAAGGCCAGUGCUUGCACUGGUACUCGAGUGGCGAACGGGUGAGUAACACGUGGGUGAUCUGCCCUGCACUUCGGGAUAAGCCUGGGAAACUGGGUCUAAUACCGGAUAGGACAAUGGUUUGGAUGCCGUUGUGGAAAGUUUUUUCGGUGUGGGAUGAGCUCGCGGCCUAUCAGCUUGUUGGUGGGGUAAUGGCCUACCAAGGCGUCGACGGGUAGCCGGCCUGAGAGGGUGUACGGCCACAUUGGGACUGAGAUACGGCCCAGACUCCUACGGGAGGCAGCAGUGGGGAAUAUUGCACAAUGGGCGCAAGCCUGAUGCAGCGACGCCGCGUGGGGGAUGACGGCCUUCGGGUUGUAAACUCCUUUCGCUAGGGACGAAGCGUAUUUGUGACGGUACCUGGAGAAGAAGCACCGGCUAACUACGUG